Molecule: long non-coding RNA, 1169 nt
Organism: Drosophila virilis
Lineage: Eukaryota; Metazoa; Arthropoda; Insecta; Diptera; Drosophilidae
Source: RefSeq, a predicted model, not a curated record
UCUGUCCGUCUGUCCGUAUGUAUGAACGCAAGGAUCUUAGAAACUAUAAGAGCUUGAGACUUGUAGGUCCGAUCGAAAUCCUGGUUUUUGAGCAAAUUGGGUAUAUAAUGUUACGGUCAUCGGUUUCUCUGGGUGUAGUCCCAUCACUGGCCCGCAGUCCGCACAAUCGAUAACAACGAAGCUACACGUCUGUAGCAAAACAGACUUACACAACACUAUGCAAAGCGAACCACCACUCGAUAACGUCAAACAAUCGGAACUUCUACCUCAUGAACAAAAUAAACAGCUGUAACAACUAUGAACAUGUAAACAACAAAGAUCGGGCCCCGGUUCCGGACCCAGCGUACCCGCCCAAACAUGAGACGAUCACCUACUCGUCUCCCACGUUCUGCCAUUAGAUGGCCAUCAGCCUGUGCCGGCUGUUAUGCCAACUCUCCCCAUCAAAGCAAAUUUAGCCGGACAUUUCUCUCUUCAGAUUCGGUUAUCUUCAAGCCAUUAUUUAUACUUUCGGACUCACGAACAUUUCCGGCAUUUUAAACCAGAAUAUAUUUUUCUGUUGGCGACCUUCGUAUGAUACCGGCGACCAAAAGAAAAGGCCAGAAGUUAUUGCCAGUCAACAAAGGAGGAAAACAGGGGGAGAAAUAUAAACACAGACGCAAUAAUCUUUGGGCCCUUUCCUUUCCGGUUCGCACUUUUAAAUUUACUUAAUUUAAACUAGUCGGAGCACAAUGGCAAGUCUGCGUCUGACUCUGCCCUUUACUCAGGCGAGGAGGCACGAAAUGGAACAGACUCACUCGGAUGACAUGGGCGUGGUCUCGCCCGUGGCUGCCUCUUCGUCGUGUGAGUCCCGUCCGUGAUGGCUCGUCUCUCCGUCGUGUGGAUUACGCCGACACUUGUCCGCGCUUUGAAAAUUCAGCCCUUGAAUAUCGGGGUUGAUCUGGCCAGCGUCCUCCGGCGCGGGAUUCAAACGUGGUGUGCCACAGAAUGGCUGCGGCUGCUCUAAUAGAGUAUGGUUUUUAUAGUAGGUUUCAAUGACGACAGUGUGUUUCGGGUGUAUUAUUGUUUCGCGUAUUGUCGCUCUUGGGCACUAUUUCUUUUGCAAUACGUUAGCACAUAAGGAAUUAUCUUCGCAAUUAAAUAAUAAAGAAAACCCGUCAUGAACAAAUGUA